Molecule: ribosomal RNA, 465 nt
Filed under: uncultured bacterium
Lineage: Bacteria
Description: partial 16S ribosomal RNA
Rfam family: Bacterial small subunit ribosomal RNA
Source: RNAcentral
CUACGGGGGGCUCCAGUGAGGAAUUUUGCUCAAUGGGGGGAACCCUGACGCAGCAACGCCGCGUGAGUGAUGAAGGCUUUCGGGUCUUAAAGCUCUGUCAAGUGGGAAGAACCUAUGCAGUGUUAAUAUCACUGUAUACUGACGGUACCACUGAAGGAAGCACCGGCUAACUCCGUGCCAGCAGCUGCGGUAAUACGGGGGGUGCAAGCGUUAUUCGGAAUCAUUGGGCGUAAAGGGCACGUAGGCGGCUUGGUAAGUCAGAUGUGAAAGCCCGGGGCUUAACCCCGGAAGUGCAUUUGAUACUGUCAGGCUUGAGUAUGGGAGAAGGAAGUGGAAUUCCUGGUGUAGAGGUGAAAUUCGUAGAUAUCAGGAGGAACACCGGUGGCGAAGGCGACUUCCUGGACCAAUACUGACGCUGAGGUGCGAAGGCGUGGUUAGCAAACAGGAUUAGAUACCCCGGUAGUC